This 1331-nucleotide ribosomal RNA is filed under the name uncultured bacterium. RNAcentral's name for it is "bacterial SSU rRNA". It matches the Rfam family "Bacterial small subunit ribosomal RNA", at positions 47 to 1396 of the family's 1533-position model. The record is from RNAcentral.
CCUAACACAUGCAAGUCGAACGGAACUUGAGAGAGCUUGCUUUUUCAAGUUUAGUGGCGAACGGGUGAGUAACGCGUGAGUAACCUGCCCUGGAGUGGGGGACAACAGUUGGAAACGACUGCUAAUACCGCAUAAGCCCACGGUGCCGCAUGGCACAGCGGGAAAAGGAUUUAUUCGCUUCAGGAUGGACUCGCGUCCAAUUAGCUAGUUGGUGAGGUAACGGCCCACCAAGGCGACGAUUGGUAGCCGGACUGAGAGGUUGAACGGCCACAUUGGGACUGAGACACGGCCCAGACUCCUACGGGAGGCAGCAGUGGGGGAUAUUGCACAAUGGGGGAAACCCUGAUGCAGCGACGCCGCGUGGAGGAAGAAGGUUUUCGGAUUGUAAACUCCUGUCGUACGGGACGAAUCAUGACGGUACCGUACAAGAAAGCCACGGCUAACUACGUGCCAGCAGCCGCGGUAAAACGUAGGUGGCAAGCGUUGUCCGGAAUUACUGGGUGUAAAGGGAGCGCAGGCGGACCGGCAAGUUGGAAGUGAAAUCUAUGGGCUCAACCCAUAAAUUGCUUUCAAAACUGCUGGCCUUGAGUAGUGCAGAGGUAGGCGGAAUUCCCGGUGUAGCGGUGGAAUGCGUAGAUAUUCGGAGGAACACCAGUGGCGAAGGCGGCUUGCUGGGCUCUAACUGACGCUGAGGCUCGAAAGUGUGGGGAGCAAACAGGAUUAGAUACCCUGGUAGUCCACACUGUAAACGAUGAUUACUAGGUGUUGGAGGAUAGACCCCUUCAGUGCCGCAGUUAACACAAUAAGUAAUCCACCUGGGGAGUACGACCGCAAGGUUGAAACUCAAAGGAAUUGACGGGGGCCCSCACAAGCMGUGGAGUAUGUGGUUUAAUUCGACGCAACGCGAAGAACCUUACCAAGUCUUGACAUCCUCUGGCGAGUACAGAAAUGUGCUUUUCCUUCGGGACAGAGAGACAGGUGGUGCAUGGUUGUCGUCAGCUCGUGUCGUGAGAUGUUGGGUUAAGUCCCGCAACGAGCGCAACCCUUAUGGAUAGUUACUACGCAAGAGGACUCUAUUCAGACUGCCGUUGACAAAACGGAGGAAGGUGGGGAUGACGUCAAAUCAUCAUGCCCUUUAUGACUUGGGCUACACACGUACUACAAUGGCGUUCAACAAAGAGAAGCGAAGCCGCGAGGCAGAGCAAAACUCAAAAACAACGUCCCAGUUCAGAUUGCAGGCUGCAACUCGCCUGCAUGAAGUCGGAAUUGCUAGUAAUCGCAGAUCAGCAUGCUGCGGUGAAUACGUUCCCGGGCCUUGUACACUCCGCCCA